This 253-nucleotide ribosomal RNA is filed under the name uncultured bacterium. RNAcentral describes it as "partial 16S ribosomal RNA". It matches the Rfam family "Bacterial small subunit ribosomal RNA", at positions 524 to 776 of the family's 1533-position model. The record is from RNAcentral.
UACGGAGGGUGCAAGCGUUAUCCGGAUUUACUGGGUUUAAAGGGUGCGUAGGCGGACAGGUAAGUCAGUGGUGAAAUCCCCGAGCUCAACUUGGGAACUGCCGUUGAUACUAUCUGUCUUGAAUACCGUGGAGGUGAGCGGAAUAUGUCAUGUAGCGGUGAAAUGCUUAGAUAUGACAUAGAACACCGAUUGCGAAGGCAGCUCACUACGCGGUCACUGACGCUGAGGCCCGAAAGCGUGGGGAGCAAACAGG